Molecule: ribosomal RNA, 253 nt
Filed under: uncultured bacterium
Lineage: Bacteria
Description: partial 16S ribosomal RNA
Rfam family: Bacterial small subunit ribosomal RNA
Source: RNAcentral
UACAGAGGGUGCAAGCGUUGUUCGGAAUUAUUGGGCGUAAAGCGCGUGUAGGCGGCUUUGCAAGUCGGGUGUGAAAUCCCUCGGCUCAACCGAGGAAGUGCGCCCGAAACUGCAGAGCUUGAGUACCGGAGAGGAUGGCGGAAUUCCCCAAGUAGAGGUGAAAUUCGUAGAUAUGGGGAGGAACACCGGUGGCGAAGGCGGCCAUCUGGACGGAUACUGACGCUGAGACGCGAAAGCGUGGGGAGCAAACCGG